Non-coding RNA from Plutella xylostella (diamondback moth), 523 nucleotides. Lineage: Eukaryota; Metazoa; Arthropoda; Insecta; Lepidoptera; Plutellidae. The record is from RefSeq and is a predicted model, not a curated record.
UCCACCUCAGUCUGGCGAAAGACAGUCUGGGAAAAAAUAAGUAUGGAACGCGUACGAAAAAUAAUGGCGAGCACCGCUCACAGAGUACUUUUUACGCUAUCAUAGACAUCUUUGGCUUUUGUCAUCUGUCAGUGUCAGUCAGUCAAUCGUUUAGUUUGAAAAAUAAUUUCAAAUCAUAAAUAAAUUAAGAUUUAACAGUUAUUUAUAUAUUAUUAUUACUGUGGAUAAGUGCAGUGUUUGUGUGGAGGUACCUAACUAUUAGUGUUGCUUGAUAUUAUUGAUAAUAAUUAUGUUUUAUAAAACUUGUGAAAUAUGUGGUUUAAGAGCCGCUAGCCGGUCGUAUAGAUGGCCAAAAGAGAAUUUUCAUGGCCAAAUUUCCACUGGAUGAGGAAAGAUGUAAACAGUGGGUUAAGAUGACCGGUAAGGAAGAUCUGGUUUAUGUGCCUAUUGAAAAGCUACAUCAACUUAAACGAAUUUGUGGCAAUCAUUUUCUACCACAACAUUUUAAGAACACAAUUGAAAA